RNAcentral lists this ribosomal RNA (2904 nucleotides) under Escherichia coli. RNAcentral describes it as "23S ribosomal RNA". It matches the Rfam family "Bacterial large subunit ribosomal RNA". Lineage: Bacteria; Pseudomonadati; Pseudomonadota; Gammaproteobacteria; Enterobacterales; Enterobacteriaceae. The record is from RNAcentral.
UUAAGCGACUAAGCGUACACGGUGGAUGCCCUGGCAGUCAGAGGCGAUGAAGGACGUGCUAAUCUGCGAUAAGCGUCGGUGAGGUGAUAUGAACCGUUAUAACCGGCGAUUUCCGAAUGGGGAAACCCAGUGUGAUUCGUCACACUAUCAUUAACUGAAUCCAUAGGUUAAUGAGGCGAACCGGGGGAACUGAAACAUCUAAGUACCCCGAGGAAAAGAAAUCAACCGAGAUUCCCCCAGUAGCGGCGAGCGAACGGGGAGGAGCCCAGAGCCUGAAUCAGUGUGUGUGUUAGUGGAAGCGUCUGGAAAGGCGCGCGAUACAGGGUGACAGCCCCGUACACAAAAAUGCACAUACUGUGAGCUCGAUGAGUAGGGCGGGACACGUGGUAUCCUGUCUGAAUAUGGGGGGACCAUCCUCCAAGGCUAAAUACUCCUGACUGACCGAUAGUGAACCAGUACCGUGAGGGAAAGGCGAAAAGAACCCCGGCGAGGGGAGUGAAAAAGAACCUGAAACCGUGUACGUACAAGCAGUGGGAGCACAGAGCAAUCUGUGUGACUGCGUACCUUUUGUAUAAUGGGUCAGCGACUUAUAUUCUGUAGCAAGGUUAACCGAAUAGGGGAGCCGAAGGGAAACCGAGUCUUAACUGGGCGUUAAGUUGCAGGGUAUAGACCCGAAACCCGGUGAUCUAGCCAUGGGCAGGUUGAAGGUUGGGUAACACUAACUGGAGGACCGAACCGACUAAUGUUGAAAAAUUAGCGGAUGACUUGUGGCUGGGGGUGAAAGGCCAAUCAAACCGGGAGAUAGCUGGUUCUCCCCGAAAGCUAUUUAGGUAGCGCCUCGUGAAUUCAUCUCCGGGGGUAGAGCACUGUUUCGGCAAGGGGGUCAUCCCGACUUACCAACCCGAUGCAAACUGCGAAUACCGGAGAAUGUUAUCACGGGAGACACACGGCGGGUGCUAACGUCCGUCGUGAAGAGGGAAACAACCCAGACCGCCAGCUAAGGUCCCAAAGUCAUGGUUAAGUGGGAAACGAUGUGGGAAGGCCCAGACAGCCAGGAUGUUGGCUUAGAAGCAGCCAUCAUUUAAAGAAAGCGUAAUAGCUCACUGGUCGAGUCGGCCUGCGCGGAAGAUGUAACGGGGCUAAACCAUGCACCGAAGCUGCGGCAGCGACACUAUGUGUUGUUGGGUAGGGGAGCGUUCUGUAAGCCUGUGAAGGUGUACUGUGAGGUAUGCUGGAGGUAUCAGAAGUGCGAAUGCUGACAUAAGUAACGAUAAAGCGGGUGAAAAGCCCGCUCGCCGGAAGACCAAGGGUUCCUGUCCAACGUUAAUCGGGGCAGGGUGAGUCGACCCCUAAGGCGAGGCCGAAAGGCGUAGUCGAUGGGAAACAGGUUAAUAUUCCUGUACUUGGUGUUACUGCGAAGGGGGGACGGAGAAGGCUAUGUUGGCCGGGCGACGGUUGUCCCGGUUUAAGCGGGUAGGCUGGUUUUCCAGGCAAAUCCGGAAAACUAAGGCUGAGGCGUGAUGACGAGGCACUACGGUGCUGAAGCAACAAAUGCCCUGCUUCCAGGAAAAGCCUCUAAGCAUCAGGUAACAUCAAAUCGUACCCCAAACCGACACAGGUGGUCAGGUAGAGAAUACCAAGGCGCUUGAGAGAACUCGGGUGAAGGAACUAGGCAAAAUGGUGCCGUAACUUCGGGAGAAGGCACGCUGAUAUGUAGGUGAAGUCCCUCGCGGAUGGAGCUGAAAUCAGUCGAAGAUACCAGCUGGCUGCAACUGUUUAUUAAAAACACAGCACUGUGCAAACACGAAAGUGGACGUAUACGGUGUGACGCCUGCCCGGUGCCGGAAGGUUAAUUGAUGGGGUUAGCGGUAACGCGAAGCUCUUGAUCGAAGCCCCGGUAAACGGCGGCCGUAACUAUAACGGUCCUAAGGUAGCGAAAUUCCUUGUCGGGUAAGUUCCGACCUGCACGAAUGGCGUAAUGAUGGCCAGGCUGUCUCCACCCGAGACUCAGUGAAAUUGAACUCGCUGUGAAGAUGCAGUGUACCCGCGGCAAGACGGAAAGACCCCGUGAACCUUUACUAUAGCUUGACACUGAACAUUGAGCCUUGAUGUGUAGGAUAGGUGGGAGGCUUUGAAGUGUGGACGCCAGUCUGCAUGGAGCCGGCCUUGAAAUACCACCCUUUAAUGUUUGAUGUUCUAACGUUGGCCCCUGAUCGGGGUUGCGGACAGUGUCUGGUGGGUAGUUUGACUGGGGCGGUCUCCUCCUAAAGAGUAACGGAGGAGCACGAAGGUUGGCUAAUCCUGGUCGGACAUCAGGAGGUUAGUGCAAUGGCAUAAGCCAGCUUGACUGCGAGCGUGACGGCGCGAGCAGGUGCGAAAGCAGGUCAUAGUGAUCCGGUGGUUCUGAAUGGAAGGGCCAUCGCUCAACGGAUAAAAGGUACUCCGGGGAUAACAGGCUGAUACCGCCCAAGAGUUCAUAUCGACGGCGGUGUUUGGCACCUCGAUGUCGGCUCAUCACAUCCUGGGGCUGAAGUAGGUCCCAAGGGUAUGGCUGUUCGCCAUUUAAAGUGGUACGCGAGCUGGGUUUAGAACGUCGUGAGACAGUUCGGUCCCUAUCUGCCGUGGGCGCUGGAGAACUGAGGGGGGCUGCUCCUAGUACGAGAGGACCGGAGUGGACGCAUCACUGGUGUUCGGGUUGUCAUGCCAAUGGCACUGCCCGGUAGCUAAAUGCGGAAGAGAUAAGUGCUGAAAGCAUCUAAGCACGAAACUUGCCCCGAGAUGAGUUCUCCCUGACUCCUUGAGAGUCCUGAAGGAACGUUGAAGACGACGACGUUGAUAGGCCGGGUGUGUAAGCGCAGCGAUGCGUUGAGCUAACCGGUACUAAUGAACCGUGAGGCUUAACCU